This 24-nucleotide non-coding RNA is filed under the name Arabidopsis thaliana (thale cress). The record is from RNAcentral. Lineage: Eukaryota; Viridiplantae; Streptophyta; Magnoliopsida; Brassicales; Brassicaceae.
GCACCGCACUUCUCCCGUACCGCA